This is a non-coding RNA of Solanum lycopersicum (tomato), 3115 nucleotides long. The record is from RefSeq and is a predicted model, not a curated record. NCBI's taxonomy places the organism in Eukaryota, Viridiplantae, Streptophyta, Magnoliopsida, Solanales, Solanaceae.
ACCUUUUCGUUUGUCGAACAAAAAAAGAAAAACAAAGUAAUGUAUAUCCUCAAUUUUCUCCUACUCCAAUUCCUAAUGUGAACGUGCUCUCUUUCGUGUUUCGACCCUUUAUAGCCCCUAAAGGAACAAACCCUUCUUCUUCUUCAGGUUUUAGAUCUACCGCGUGUUUUUUUUUCCUUAAUCGGGUAUUUACAAGUCAAGAAACCCCUUUUUCUUCAUAUUUGUUACCCUUUUAUCUUUUGGGUCUACCCCAAAAUUCAACUUUCGCUUCUAUAAGAGUUUGAAUUUCGAAUUUCCGAUCCGUUUGUUGGUCAAUUUCUCCAUAUUUUCUCUUUAAAGAUUGAAUCUUUGGUCCUUAUAUCGAACUACCACAAGAAGUUUUUAAAUUCUGUCCUGUUUAAGUGAUGGGGGUUUCCAAUUGUUCCAUUACUUUGCCACCGACCCAGCAGGUUCCACUGCCUAAGGAGUAUGGGGUAACGAAACCCUUGUCUCUAGCAGGACCUAUGGAGGCUGAUAUUCAGCGUACCAAAGAGUUGGAAAAGUUCUUGGUCGGUGCUGGACUUUAUGAAAGCGCUGAGGAGGCUGCUAAGAGAGAAGGAGUUCUCUGCCAGCUAAAGCAGAUUGUGAAGGACUGGGUGAAAGAUCUUACUCGACUGAGAGGGUACAUUGAUCAGAUGGUUGAGGAUGCAAAUGCUGUCAUUUUAACUUUUGGUUCUUAUCGACUUGGGAUAGAUUCUUCUACAGGAGCUCUUUGCUCAAAAACACAGUUGGCGCCUGUCAUUGGGAGGAGUUCUUUUUUUGGGUGGAUGGGUGAAUUGGGUGGGUCUGCAGUGCUCUAUGCUGUUUGUUUUCUUGAAGCUGCACCUGCUCCCUUAACACAUGUGCAUGGUCCUGGAGCUGACAUAGAUACCUUAUGUGUUGGACCAUGUUAUGUGAACCGAGAGAAUGACUUCUUUUUUGUAUUGCAUAAUAUUUUGGUGGAGAGGGAAGAAGUUACUGAACUACAACCAGUCCCAGAUGCACAUGUCCCUGUUAUGAAGUUUAAGUUUGAUGGGAUCUCAAUUGAUCUUCUUUAUGCAAGCAUUUCUCUUUUGGUUGUGCCAGAUGACUUGGACAUAUCCAGUGAAUCCGUGUUGUUCAAUGUUGAUGAGCCAACUGUAAGGAGCCUUAAUGGCUGCAGGGUGGCAGAUAAAAUUCUUAAAGAUGUUCCAAAUAUUGAGUUUUUCCGGAUCACACUUCGAUGUUUAAAGUUUUGGGCUAAACAGCGUGGUGUUUAUUCAAAUGUGACUGGAUUUCUUGGUGGAGUUAACUGGGCUCUUCUAGUUGCUCGGGUUUGCCAACUUUAUCCAAAUGCUGUUCCGAGUAUGCUGGUUUCUCGUUUUUUCCGCGUAUAUACACAAUGGCGCUGGCCAAAUCCUGUGAUGCUUUGUCAGAUAGAGGAUAAAGAAUUUGGAUUUUCUAUCUGGGAUCCACGAAAAAACCCUUGGGACCGGACACAUCAGAUGCCAAUUAUUACACCUGCCUAUCCUUACAUGAACUCUAGCUACAAUGUCUCUUCAAGUACUCUUCGUGUUAUGACAGAACAAUUUGAAUUUGGUAACAACAUAUGUCAGGAAAUUGACCUCAAUAAAGCCCGGUGGACUGCAUUGUUUGAGCAGUAUCCUUUCUUCGAAAGCUACAAGAACUAUUUGCAAGUUGACAUAGUUGCAGCUGAUGCUGAUGACUUACUUGUAUGGAGAGGCUGGGUCGAAUCCCGGUUAAGGCAACUUACUUUGAUGAUAGAACGGGACACAUUUGGGAAAUUGCAGUGCCAUCCUUGUCCGCACGAGUAUGUGGACCCGUCCAAACAGUGUGCUCAUCGUGCCUUUUUCAUGGGUUUGCAGAGGAGGCCAGGGGAGUUGGUUCAAGAAUGUCAGCAGUUUGAUAUUCGUGGGACAGUUGACGAGUUUAGACACCAAGUAAACAUGUAUAUGUAUUAGAAACCAGGAAUGGAAAUGUUUGUGUCCCAUGUUCGUAGAAAGCAGAUUCCCCCUUGUAUUCUAUCAGAUGGUUAUAAACGAAACCAAACACCAAGGCUAAUGAGUGGGCAGCUGGGAGAGAAGCCUGUCACUAGUAUUUUUAGGUCAAGAUCCAGAGAAAGAGGAGGUUUGGAAAGGAAAAGAGAGCUUGAAUGUGUGGAAGAGAGUCACCAGAGUUUGGACAAAAGACCAUCAAUUAGCCCUCCAAGAAGGGAAUCACCUUCGCCUGAACUUAUUGUUGGUGAGAAAAGUGGCAUGUUGUUACAACAGUGUUUCUCGACAGUUACUGGAGGGAAGAGAAAGAGUGAAGAAAUUUCAAAUAAUGUGACGAAUGAUAAGAUGCAGUUUGCUGUUCCUGAUGAAGAUGUUUAUAUUGAACAAAGGAAGUCACAAAGAGCACAAUGUGUGGAAAGUGCAGAUGGAUGUGUAUAUCAGUCUGGUGGUGUCACAAACCUUGUUGAAGCUGGUACCUCUGGAGCUCCUGCGCAUGAAUUGCUCCGACUCGGCCAUGAUGGUUAUGCAGCGGGCAGUACUGGUGGCAACUCUCUCCGUUCCUCUCAGGGUGACUUAUACAGAGCAGAGUCCAAGUCUCUUUUGAAUAAUGUAUGUGAAAAUGGUUCAAGAUUUUUAGAAGAUGCGUUGCGGGAGUUAGAGCCAAAAGCUGCUCGUGGAGUUUUAACAUCUCCGGAUAGCAUUCGAUCGGAGUCUGUACAAAAAUCCUCUAUAGGGUAAAGUGUUGCAUCAACAGCUUGAAAGAAGUGGAGUCGCAGCAUUGAGGGAUGAAAAGCCAACGCAACAUGGUAAGUAUGAUGUUACUUGUUGGCUGUCAUUUCUCUAUGUUUUUCUAUUCCAGGCAGCUUGCAUGUCAAACAUUCAGAGGGAGAGUCCUGAUAUUUUGCGGAGAGUUGGACUCCUGUACAGUUCAGUUUAUAUAUAAAAAGAAAAAAAACACUCGAAACACUGCUGAAACUCUCAAUUGAUCUUUAGUUCAUGGAAAAUCUCAAUUGUAAUCGGUUUAUUGGAGAGUUUCAGUCUCUUAAUUGUAUUUGUAUUCCGAUGACAAUUAAUGACACACCAUAUUUCCCAAUUUCCCUUUU